UGUGUAGGCGGGUUUGCAAGUCAGAGGUGAAAGCCUACGGCUCAACCGUAGAACUGCCUCUGAUACUGCAAGUCUUGAGUCCUGGAGAGGUUGUCGGAAUUCGUGGUGUAGCGGUGAAAUGCGUAGAUAUCACGAGGAACACCGGUUACGAAGGUGGGCAACUGGACAGGUACUGACGCUGAGGCACGAAAGCGUGGGGAGCAAACA
RNAcentral lists this ribosomal RNA (207 nucleotides) under uncultured bacterium. Its description in RNAcentral is "partial 16S ribosomal RNA". It matches the Rfam family "Bacterial small subunit ribosomal RNA", at positions 568 to 774 of the family's 1533-position model. The record is from RNAcentral.